This 478-nucleotide ribosomal RNA is filed under the name uncultured bacterium. RNAcentral's name for it is "partial 16S ribosomal RNA". It matches the Rfam family "Bacterial small subunit ribosomal RNA", at positions 28 to 523 of the family's 1533-position model. The record is from RNAcentral.
GACGAACGCUGGCGGCGUGCUUAACACAUGCAAGUCGAACGGUAAGGCCCUUCGGGGUACACGAGUGGCGAACGGGUGAGUAACACGUGGGUGAUCUGCCCUGCACUUCGGGAUAAGCCUGGGGAACUGGGUCUAAUACCGGAUAGGACCACUGCCUGCAUGGGUGGUGGGGGAAAGCUUUUGCGGUGUGGGAUGGGCCCGCGGCCUAUCAGCUUGUGGGUGGGGUGAUGGCCUACCAAGGCGACGACGGGUAGCCGGCCUGAGAGGGUGACCGGCCACACUGGGAGUGAGAUACGGCCCAGACUCCUACGGGAGGCAGCAGUGGGGAAUAUUGCACAAUGGGCGCAAGCCUGAUGCAGCGACGCCGCGUGAGGGAUGACGGCCUUCGGGUUGUAAACCUCUUUCAGCACCGACGAAGCGCAAGUGACGGUAGGUGCAGAAGAAGGACCGGCCAACUACGUGCCAGCCGCCGCCGUAA